AAACUCAAAUGAAUUGACGGGGGCCCGCACAAGCGGUGGAGCAUGUGGUUUAAUUCGAUGCAACGCGAAGAACCUUACCUGGACUUGACAUAGUGAGAACGCUGAAGAGAUUUAGCGGUGCCGCAAGGAGCUCACAUACAGGUGCUGCAUGGCUGUCGUCAGCUCGUGUCGUGAGAUGUUGGGUUAGGUCCCGCAACGAGCGCAACCCUUGUUCUUUGUUGCCAGCACGUAAAGGUGGGAACUCAAAGAAGACUGCCGGUGACAAACCGGAGGAAGGCAGGGAUGACGUCAAGUCAUCAUGGCCCUUACGUUCAGGGCUACACACGUGCUACAAUGGGUUGUACAGAGGGAAGCGAAGCCUCGAGNAGGAGCGGAACCCAGAAAGCAACUCGUAGUCCGGAUUGGAGUCUGCAACUCGACUCCAUGAAGUCGGNAUAAGNAGUAAUCGCGAAUCAGAAUGUCGCGGUGAAUACGUUCNCGGGCCUUGUACACACCGCCCGU
This 501-nucleotide ribosomal RNA is filed under the name uncultured Pseudomonadota bacterium. RNAcentral describes it as "bacterial SSU rRNA". It matches the Rfam family "Bacterial small subunit ribosomal RNA", at positions 897 to 1397 of the family's 1533-position model. The record is from RNAcentral. Lineage: Bacteria; Pseudomonadati; Pseudomonadota.